RNAcentral lists this unclassified non-coding RNA (378 nucleotides) under Hevea brasiliensis (rubber tree). Lineage: Eukaryota; Viridiplantae; Streptophyta; Magnoliopsida; Malpighiales; Euphorbiaceae. The record is from RNAcentral.
UAUCGCUCCCUUUUGUUCGCAUCUCUCUGCUUGCCUCUCUCUAUCUCUCCUUGAUGCAUCAAUGCAUCGCAUAUCUCACCAUUCUCAGCCUUUCUCCACUUGGCUCUGCCUAGUGAGCGCACACUCAUGUGUCAUGUUAAUUUCUUGCUUUCAACUUCAAGUGCUAUUUCAAUGUACUUUUGUCCCAAGUCCUACCUUAGUUCCUAAAAUUCAUUCAUUGUUGAUCUAAAAAGUGCUGUUAAAUCAUCGACAUGGAGGAACUUGGGUUUUCGCUGUCUCCAUCGCUAAACAAGUGUCUCUUAUGCAAUCAUUUAGGUGUUGUGAUAAAUCUGGGUUUGAUUGAAAAAUAGAAAUUAAUGAUGUUUUAUUUGAGUAUCG